AGCUCUCAUGGCGUAUAUCGUCAUUGCUGCGGUUAAAAAGCUCGUAGUUGGAUUUGUGCCAAUGGACGCGGUACUUCUUGUAAGUAACUGUACUCCUUGGUUUGUGUCGGUUUUCCGGCGUGGUUCUGCUGCGUCGGUGGCUGGCGUGAUUACCUUGAAUAAAUCAAAGUGCUCAAGACAGGCGUUUCGCUUGUAUGUUUCUGCAUGGAAUAAUGGAAUAGGACUUCGGUUCAUUCUGUUGGUCUUAGGAUCGAAGUAAUGAUUAAGAGGAACUGACGGGGGCAUCCGUAUCGCUGCGUGAGAGGUGAAAUUCUUGGACCGCAGCGGGACGUCCAACAGCGAAAGCAUUUGCCAAGAAUGUUUUCA
This 366-nucleotide ribosomal RNA is filed under the name marine Metazoa environmental sample. RNAcentral's name for it is "SSU rRNA". It matches the Rfam family "Eukaryotic small subunit ribosomal RNA", at positions 587 to 972 of the family's 1831-position model. Lineage: Eukaryota; Metazoa. The record is from RNAcentral.